This 292-nucleotide ribosomal RNA is filed under the name uncultured Planctomycetota bacterium. RNAcentral's name for it is "uncultured planctomycete partial 16S ribosomal RNA". The record is from RNAcentral. Lineage: Bacteria; Pseudomonadati; Planctomycetota.
GGACUACUGGGGUUUCUAAUCCCGUUUGCUCCCCUGGCUUUCGCGCCUCAGCGUCAGAAGGGGUCCAGCGCGCCGCUUUCGCCACCGGUGUUCCUUCCGAUAUCUACGCAUUUCACCGCUCCACCGGAAGUUCCGCACGCCCCUACCCCCCUCGAGGCCGGCAGUAUCAAAGGCGCUUCCACGGUUGAGCCGUGGGCUUUCACCCCUGACUGGCCGGCCCGCCUACGCGCCCUUUAAGCCCAGUGAUUCCGAACAACGUUAGCACGGUUCGUCUUACCGCGGCUGCUGGCAC